UACGUAGGUGGCAAGCGUUGUCCGGAUUUACUGGGCGUAAAGAGCGCGCAGGCGGUCGUUCAAGUCGCGUGUGAAAGCCCCCGGCUCAACUGGGGAGGGUCAUUCGAUACUGAUCGACUUGAAGGCAGGAGAGGGUAGUGGAAUUCCCGGUGUAGUGGUGAAAUGCGUAGAUAUCGGGAGGAACACCAGUGGCGAAGGCGACUACCUGGCCUGUUCUUGACGCUGAGGCGCGAAAGCUGGGGGAGCAAACGGG
Molecule: ribosomal RNA, 253 nt
Filed under: uncultured bacterium
Lineage: Bacteria
Description: partial 16S ribosomal RNA
Rfam family: Bacterial small subunit ribosomal RNA
Source: RNAcentral